RNAcentral lists this transfer RNA (69 nucleotides) under Camelus bactrianus (Bactrian camel). It matches the Rfam family "tRNA". Rfam says of the family: Transfer RNA (tRNA) molecules are approximately 80 nucleotides in length. RNAcentral also lists the same sequence under 2 other names. Lineage: Eukaryota; Metazoa; Chordata; Mammalia; Artiodactyla; Camelidae. The record is from Rfam by way of RNAcentral.
GGAAUAGCUCAGUGGUCGAGCACGUGCUUAGUUUGCAUGAGGUCCUGGAUUCAAUCCCCAGUCCCUCCA